AAAUUGAAGAGUUUGAUCAUGGCUCAGAUUGAACGCUGGCGGCAGGCCUAACACAUGCAAGUCGAACGAUAACAGGAAACAGCUUGCUGUUUCGCUGACGAGUGGCGGACGGGUGAGUAAUGUCUGGGAAACUGCCUGAUGGAGGGGGAUAACUACUGGAAACGGUAGCUAAUACCGCAUAACGUCGCAAGACCAAAGAGGGGGACCUUAGGGCCUCUUGCCAUCGGAUGUGCCCAGAUGGGAUUAGCUAGUAGGUGGGGUAA
RNAcentral lists this ribosomal RNA (263 nucleotides) under Escherichia coli. Its description in RNAcentral is "partial 16S ribosomal RNA". It matches the Rfam family "Bacterial small subunit ribosomal RNA", at positions 1 to 260 of the family's 1533-position model. Lineage: Bacteria; Pseudomonadati; Pseudomonadota; Gammaproteobacteria; Enterobacterales; Enterobacteriaceae. The record is from RNAcentral.